AAGUGGUUCAAGGGGCGUCGACGGUUUGAAUUUUGUAUUGAAACACUUGCAAAUUUCAAAUGGGACAACACAGGAUUGGCUCCCCAUGUUGCUGUUCAUGAGUCUUCUAAUGUUUGCUGUUUUGAUGUCAGUAUUUACAUCAAUGAAGUACCGCAAUACCUUUCAGGUCUCGUCAAUGAAAAGGUUGAUUCAAGAGAGUCGGAUCAUGUGUGGCUGCACUAUGUUCCCUUCCUUAAAAUGCUGCGAGUCGGUUAUACGCGUCCGUUGCCCCCUUUUAAGUGUCGAGUCAUUAUUGAUCAACGGAAUAACCGUGACGCCCCCUUAAAAAGCUGUGGGGUCCACCUUGUAAUGCCACCCAAUGAAGACGUUUGUAUGAAGCUAAUCCCUGCAGAGAACCUCACUAGGGAACUUUCUGAUGAUGAAGUUUACCUUUCUGAUGAUGAAGUUUACCUCACCAGUGAACUUUCUGAUGAUGAAGUUUGUGAGGUGCUAAUGCAAUUGAGUUCAUCUCAACCAUGCUGAAGUUUCAAUAGCUUUUGUUCAAGAGAACAAAAUCCCUGCUCAAUUGUCAGCUUCACAAAUGUUUCUAGCACUCAAAGGCAGAAGAACUGGGGGUAUCUUGCUUUUCGUGGGAGGAAUUCUUUUAGUUGAUAAAUUCAGAUUGUGAAGUACCUCCAAAACAUAGGACUGCUGUUGCACAAUGAUGUAUACACGUGGAAAACCUAGAGAACGAAAAGGCAUAAUUGUUACUAAUGCAGCAUUAAAGGCAGAGGACUAAUGGAAAGCUAUCAUCCCAAACAGUGGACUGACUGCAAAGUAAUAUAUACUGAUGCACAACUGGAGAAUGAAAAGCUGUAAUUAGUACUAAUGCAGCAAUGUUGGUAAAGCAUUGUCUAUGGAUCAAUGUGACGGAUAAGGUAACAGUUCAGAUUCUCCCUCUUUUUUGAUAUCUUUGGAGUUUCAAAGUUAGUUUGUAAUAAAUAAUAUCAACUCUCUUUGGCAUUCUCCAUUUGUGUGGAUAUAGUUGAACUAGUUUUCCAAGCCUGGUUCCAUGUAAAUAAUAAAUGAAAAAUUGCAUUAUGGAAAGUGAUACUAAAUUUGUUUUUGAAGUUUGAUCUAGUGAACUAGUCAUAUUUCACUAGAUUCUUUCAAGGUAUUUCUAUUUUCUGAGUUUAUAGCAUUGUUGUCUGAAAUUAUUUUCUCAUUCAAAAGUAAAAAGUUCAGAUUAUAAUUGUGUCGAUCGAUCACCAAACAUAUAUUUUCGAUGUCUGAUUUAGAAUGAUAUUUACUUGAUCGAAGGCAUGAUUUAAGAAAAGUGGAAUAAAGUUUUUUCACAUGCAGUUUCCAAUUAGUUUUAUGUAAUUGCAAUUAUUUUCUUCUUUCAUUUGAUCAGUUUCUUGUUGAGUUACCACUACAUUAUAAUUAACCUGAGAAAUGUUUGCCCUUGUUUAUUGUUAUUGUAAAAUUAUACAUAUACUAAAGGCCGUAGAGCUAGCACUGUUUAACUGCAAGGACGGUUUUGCCCCUUUUUUCCGGUAAUUUACGACUUGCCAUUGAAGAUCUGUCUUUUUCUAAAGGGCGGUGGUCAGACCUAAAACAAUUUGGGCUUAUCAGUUGGCCAUUGCAGGGAUUUUUUUUUCUCCCGCGCGAUAGAAGAGUUGUGGUCUGACCAAAAACAAAACGAAGAAAAAGAAAAGAAGUGAUUGUCGUGUUUGAGUUGGUUUGUUUACUCGGUUUGAUUUCAUGUAUAUACUAGGCAAUUAACACCUUAUAUUGAAAUAAUCAUGAUUUGAUGAAAAUUAAUAGAUAGUAAGAUUUGAUUUGAGUAGUAAGUCUCAUGCAGGAAUGAUGUAACUGUCUUCCGCAUGCACAUUAGUAGAUAACGGAUCAAUUUUCUUGAUAUCUUACUCACUGCAUUCUUGCAAUCUGUUCGAGUCUAAUUGGAUUCUGUGGUGCUGCAGUUGAUUGCGAAAGCAGCCGAGAAAGCCAUUCUGCAUGGGGCUAUGGCUGGUUGCUUCUUAUGAAUUAGCAAGCCUAAAGCAUUUUUUAGUGGAUAAAUAAGUGGACGGUGCACUUCAGCAACUCAGCUUCAACAUUUUUCGAUAGCUUCUGCAAUGACCAUAAAAUUCCUACAAGAUCUACAGAGAUUGGAAGCAGUUCUAUAUGUUUCAAGAGUACAUCAACACAAUUAAUGAUCUGUAAUAGUUCUGUAUCAAUGUUCACACCUCACAGGAUUGUAGUUACAGUUGCCACUGAUUUUGGAGUGAAACCUACUUUUGCUCUUUGGGUUUAACAUAAACAUACUACUACGCCUACUACGUAACAUUAAAAGAUCAAUUGUAUUACAACUUUAACUAUCAUGUAACAAUGAUUCCCGCAGCAAAGCGCGGGCUUACUUUCUAGUUCAUGCCUAAAUUUGUUCCUGCAGGUAUUGAGUAGAGUUUCCUCCGGUGGAACCAUACCCUGUUCCAAUAUGCAUAUAACUUAGCCAGCUCAUCAGUUGAAAAUUUGCAUUUGCAUUUUCAUUGGCAGUAGUCUUAUGACUACUGAAAGGUUUAAAUAACAAGAAUUUGGGAUAUCUGAAGUAGUGUCUUCCAAAAGACGAAGGACAAGCUUGACUUUAGAAAGCACAUUGUAUGGGCUAUCUAUCCAGAGGUGAUAUUGGAGAAUGGCAGCCUAAUGGAGCAAUGAAAGUUACAGAUAGGAAAAAGAACAUAUUUAAACUGUCUCGAGGUGAAUAUGUUGCUGUGGAAAGCAUUGAAAGCAAAUACUUGCAAUGCCCCCUUAUCACAUCGGUAUGUCGCCAACU
Molecule: long non-coding RNA, 2809 nt
Organism: Rosa chinensis
Lineage: Eukaryota; Viridiplantae; Streptophyta; Magnoliopsida; Rosales; Rosaceae
Exons: 8
Source: RefSeq, a predicted model, not a curated record